RNAcentral lists this ribosomal RNA (114 nucleotides) under Diaphorina citri (Asian citrus psyllid). The record is from RNAcentral. Lineage: Eukaryota; Metazoa; Arthropoda; Insecta; Hemiptera; Psyllidae.
ACUGGUAGCAAUGGCAUGUUGAAUGCACCAGUACCCAGAGGAACACUGAAGCUAAGCAACACUGUACAUUGUUAAUAUCUGGAUGGGUAUCUAGGCAAUAGUAUGCUAGUGGGU